Molecule: non-coding RNA, 4062 nt
Organism: Malus domestica (apple)
Lineage: Eukaryota; Viridiplantae; Streptophyta; Magnoliopsida; Rosales; Rosaceae
Source: RefSeq, a predicted model, not a curated record
GCCACCGGGCUGAUUUCAGCCCAAAUUUCGCUUUAUUUACAAGAUUGCCACUGGGCUUAAGAACGGGUUUUCAGUCUUUCGGUUGGAUCCGGGCUUUUGACUCGGGGAGAGAGAGGGAAGGGGGCAGAAGGGUUGACGGGUUGGAUGGAGAGGUUCGCCAGGAUUUGGGGGAGAGGAUUUUCGGCAGGGAGGUGCGGGUGGGUGUGCCUGUGGCUGAUGCAUCGGUCAGAGGGUUGUUGGUGGAGGAGAGGAGGGGGACAGAGUGAUUGACAGAUUGGAGAGAGAUGGGAGCUACGGGUUUCGACUGAGAGAGAGAGAUUUAGCUAGGUCAUCUGCCAGGACCUAUGGCAUUUUCUCCAAUUUUAGAGAGAGAGAUGGACAGAGAGAGAGAGGAGAAAGCAUGGCUGUGUGCAUUUUUUGGGGUUAAUGGGUUACCGCACAGGGUCGGUGAGGAGAGAAUGGCAGAGGGAGGGAAUGUUGUCAUCCCCUUUUCAUUCCCUCUUUUUCUCUCCCUACUCUAUCUCUGUAACCAUCCCUCCCUUUUCUCACUCUAUAAUUUCCCUCAAAUCCCCCGUCGAUUCUCUCUCUCGCCAUUCUCAGUCUCGCCAGCCGCGAAUCCUUACAGCUCCAUGCUCCGCCUCCAGAUUCGUCGAGAUGAGAGCCCCAAGACCGUCGCCUGCACCACCGUCUCAGAAAAGUGAGCCAAAAUCUCGCGAGAAUCAGGCUGCACACGAGCGGAUCUAAAGGCCAAACCUCCGAUCUUGAAGGUACACUUGACUGAGAAGGAAAGUCUUUUCAUAUUAAAUCCAUGUUAGCCUGGCCGCUGCCGCCCUGGAACCAUCGCUCUUCGUCUUCUCCAUUCUCUUGGUCUUGGACCAAGCAUGAAAUCCCAAGCACUAUAUCACCAUAAAGCAAGCAAGCUGAAAAGCAAUCCAACAAACCCUUUUUCCAGAAGCACUUAACAGAACCUUUCUAUGGGUUAAUUGUUGUUUCAAUUAUACCAGAUUGAAAACGAGUAUGGAACCAUCAAGCAUACGGGGCCGUUGUCCAAACCUAUAUUAAGUGGGCAGCAAGCAUGACUGUUUGUCUCUAAAUACAGGGUGCCCUGGGUCAUGUGGCAACAAAAAGAUGCUCCUGCAUCCGUAGUGAGGCUUUUGUAGUCAGUUUUCAUUUGCAUUGUAUUGACUUUGACCUUUUUGAUCAAAGUCCAAUAGCAAUAGGUGCAGUAAUUCUCAAACCCUAAUUUUAACUGUUUGGAUCAAUUGCGUUUUUUUUAAAAAAAAAAAAUUGCGUUGCUUCUACUAGCUAUAUAUUGAUGGGUUUCGGAGUGUUUUUUGUUUUGUGACUGGAUUUUGCUGUGUCGGAUUAGUUUGGUUUGCUAACUUAUGUUAUUUUUUAUGGGUUUGGUUAACAUGGUUUUCAUUCCUUUUCAGAUUUGUUUCGACACACACUACUCGAAAUUUGCAGGAUGCUAUGGUGAUAUUUUCUACGAUCUAAACAAAUUAACUAUUUAAUGUUAGUAGUUUGUGUUAUAUAAAGCUACGCAUGUUAGGAGUAAAGUAAUUUAUUAUUUGUUCUUAGCCCUUGGUUUAUAAAUCCCAACUUUAAAAUUCCAAGUAGAUGUGUCUGUUAAUCGAUUGCAUUUGGGAUGGAAAUGGUUUUGAAUGAUUUGGAUUUUCAUUAAUUUUAAUUCAUCUGCUAAUCAUAGUUUCAUGUAUUAGAUAGUUGCUUUGCUCUCACAAAUUUUGUUGGUAGGGGUUCAGCAAAGCUUUCUAGGGCUAAAUCUUCAGUUUGCUGUUGGGUAUGUUUACUUUAUGCUUUUGUUUUUUGUUUUUUGUGUUUUUGUUUUUGUCUGGAGUAAAUAUGCUUAAGAUGUCACAUGAUUAAAGGUGGAGAAAUCACCGUCCCUUUUUUCGUAGAAAUUUGUAAUUUUUUUUAAAAAUAUGUGUGGGUUGCUGAAACUAAUUAUUUGAUCAGUGUGAUUUUUUGUAAUUGGGAAUUUAGGACCUUGGUAACUUGAUUGAAUAGGAAUUUUGUGAUUAGGAAUUUGUGGGUUUACCUCCGAAUUUAAUCCCUUUCUUAAGAGGGAUCUAGCCGUAACACACAGCAGCAAUGGGGGAAGAGAAGCGGCACCAGGUUCGGCGAUCAAUCUGGAGAGGAAGAGGUCAAUUUUGAGCACAAGUCCAAUCCCCGGCCCAAUUCUGUAUGAUCAUCUAAUUUCAUGUUUCCUUUCUAUUCUGAUUCCAAAAGUAUGUUUCGGAAUGAUUAGGGUUUCAGUUUUUGUUUUAAUUUUUGAGCACAAGUCCAAUCCCCGGCCCAAUUCUGUAUGAUCAUCUAAUUUCAUGUUUCCUUUCUAUUCUGAUUCCAAAAGUAUGUUUCGGAAUGAUUAGGCUUUCAGUUUUUGUUUUAAUCUUAGUUGAAGGAAGAUAUAGGGUGUGGUUUUGUUAAUGGCGGUGGAUGAUUUGGAUGAAAGUAUGUAUCCUCGGGAUUUUUUUGCUUGCAGUUGUUUAGGCCAGGACUUGGUGCGAUGGCAAGUGCUUUCGCCCAUGAGCGGUAGGUCUCGGGUUCGAGACUUGGGAGCAGCCUCUCCAUAAAUGGGGGUAAGGCUAGCCGACAUUCACCUCUCUCAGACCCUACGUAAAGCGGGAGCCUUGUGCACUGGGUAAUAAAGGUGGUCCAACUAGUAGCUGAUAAAAUGUCUUUAUAUAUAUGCUUUUGUUGAUUUCUGCUGCGAUAAUGAGGGAAUCUAGAGGAUCAAGGCCAGUCAAUCUGAGGUUUGUACUACUCUAUCCCUUUCUUUCUCUCUUUCUGUGAAUUUCUUGAAAUUGACGACGCACGUUCUGAUUCUUGCUGUGUUUGGGAGCGGAGAAAGCUCUGGAUUAGCUUUGAUCACUUGAAUUUUGUCUUAUUUAGUUCAGCACAGUCGGACUACAUAAUCCUACCAUUGGGCUAUUUCUAUAGAGGGUUUAUGUUGACUUUUGUUGGCCUGUUGACAGUCUGGUAGGUCUAUCAUAUUGAUGGAACUAAAUUGUGAGUUAGUUAUGGUUUAGAUUGUUGAAUUUUGAAUUCGCAAUUCCCUUUGAAACUGUCACAAGCGAUGUGUCUGUUGUGGCUACAGGAAUCAAAAGCGAGUGAAAGGUAAAGCUUUUCUCUCCAAGCAUUCAUCGCCAGAAAUUGUAGUACCUCUUUUAAAUUCAAAUUUUUAUUUAUUUGCAGAAUUGUAUAAUCCUUUUGAAGCAGUGGGGAGCCGCGGUUCGAUUUUGGUAGGAUUGGCAUGUGGUUGUUCACGCCUUUACGGCCACUUUGUGUCUGGCAAAGAUACCUUCGUUAAGUAAUUUGAGAAGCAUGGGGAGAUAAUAGACUAAUCAAAGAGAUGCAUGUGAUCAACGAUAAAUAGGUAAGCAUCAUCCUCUUCCUUGUUUUGUUAUGAUUGGUUGUAUAGAGGAUUGAGAAAAAAGUUGAAGACAAUUCCACGCUUUUGAGUUAUAGCAAUUAGUAAAUAUAAAAUGACAUUGAUUAGUUCAUUGAAGUUUUGAAUCCUUCGUUAGUUUAUCCGUGGUGCGUGCUUGAGAAUGAAAGCAAUGGACAUUAUAUGGAAUUGAUGUUCCUUUUAAUGUCAGUAAAGAAAGGAAUUGUUCCUUUAUUAGCAAUUAUAUGAAGUAGGCAUAUUAUGCAAUACAAUGUCUACAAUCGACUAUUUUACUUUUUGUACAAGUACAACUUUUGAUCGAAAGCCACAAAAACUACCUAAAGGCCAAAGAACCGUGUGUUAGAAGAACAGAAUAUGGUGUAAAGCUUAAAUUUUGGGCACUUCAAUAUAUGUUUUAUUUUUCAAUUACAAUAACUUGCAUGAAAAUUCAAUUGGGUUUGUUCUGGUCUCCAAAAAUUUUGCUUUGUUUGGUUACUGAUUAAUUUAUGUGGUGGGAGUUUAGUUUCUGCUUUUCUGCCUACGUAUUUAUGAUUCAAAAUGGACUGUUCAAUUACAUAUUUGUAAUCGAAAAGCUCGAAGGAGAGGUGAAUUAUCUUACCGACACUGUUCAUUUAUCUAUUCCUUUGUUCAUU